RNAcentral lists this unclassified non-coding RNA (315 nucleotides) under Hevea brasiliensis (rubber tree). Lineage: Eukaryota; Viridiplantae; Streptophyta; Magnoliopsida; Malpighiales; Euphorbiaceae. The record is from RNAcentral.
AUAGAAACAGCAAGAGUAAGAAAGCUACUAACGCGGAGCCAACUGCAAUUAAAACAAUCGCGACGGUGGAGAGUUUCUUGGACUUUUUGCGAACUGGGGUCGCCGGUGGGGCUUCUGAUGGGGAUGGAGCUGGAGAAGGGAAAAAUGGACUGCAAGGCGGCAAUGGGCCACCGCAUAGAUUUAAAUUUCCGGCGAAUGAGGAUGCGGGGAAUCUGGAUAAAACCGAAGGGAUUGAGCCAUUUAGAUUGUUGUUCGACACAUUGAAGUCCAUCAAACCUGACGGGUUAAUACUAGGUAAAGUGCCUGAGAACUGAU